RNAcentral lists this ribosomal RNA (402 nucleotides) under uncultured bacterium. RNAcentral's name for it is "bacterial SSU rRNA". It matches the Rfam family "Bacterial small subunit ribosomal RNA", at positions 355 to 774 of the family's 1533-position model. The record is from RNAcentral.
CAAGGAAUUUUCCGCAAUGGGCGAAAGCCUGACGGAGCAACGCCGCGUGCAGGACGACGGCCUUCGGGUUGUAAACUGCUUUUAUCGGGGACGAAACGGACGGUACCCGAAGAAUAAGCCCCGGCUAACUCCGUGCCAGCAGCCGCGGUAAUACGGAGGGGGCAAGCGUUGUCCGGACUUACUGGGCGUAAAGCGCACGUAGGCGGCCGCGUGCGUCGGCACUGAAAGCGCCUGGCUUAACCAGGCGAGGUGUGUCGAUACGACGUGGCUAGAGGCAGUGAGAGGUUGGCAGAAUUCCGGGUGUAGUGGUGAAAUGCGUAGAUAUCCGGAGGAAUAUCGGUGGCGAAAGCGGCCAACUGGCACUGUCCUGACGCUGAGGUGCGAAAGCGUGGGGAGCGAACC